UGGGGGAUAUUGCACAAUGGGCGAAAGCCUGAUGCAGCGACGCCGCGUGGGGGAUGAAGGCCUUCGGGUUGUAAACUUCUUUUGCUCUGAACAAGGCAUGCCUUUGGGGUGUGUUGAGUGUAGGGGUUGAUUAGCGCCGGCUAACUACGUGCCAGCAGCCGCGGUAAUACGUAGGGCGCGAGCGUUGUCCGGAAUUAUUGGGCGUAAAGGGCUUGUAGGUGGCUGGUUGCGUCUGUCGUGAAAGCUCAUGGCUUAACUGUGGGUUUGCGGUGGGUACGGGCUGGCUUGAGUGCAGUAGGGGAGGCUGGAAUUCCUGGUGUAGCGGUGGAAUGCGCAGAUAUCAGGAGGAAUACCGGUGGCGAAGGCGGGUCUCUGGGAUGUUACUGACGCUGAGGAGCGAAAGCGUGGGGAGCGAACAGG
Molecule: ribosomal RNA, 420 nt
Filed under: Fusobacteriota bacterium
Lineage: Bacteria; Fusobacteriati; Fusobacteriota
Description: Fusobacteria bacterium partial 16S ribosomal RNA
Rfam family: Bacterial small subunit ribosomal RNA
Source: RNAcentral